UGAAAAUCACAGUGAGAGCACGCAAGCGUCCAUAGGAAAGCAUUAUAAAUGCUUUCCUAUGCGACUGGCUGAAUGCGCGCGCAGCUCUUGCCACGCGUGCGCAUUCAGCCGACAGGGCGGAUCGGAGGAGGAGAGCUCCCCGCCCGGCGCUGGAAAAAGGUAAGUUUUAACCCUUUUCCAGAGCCGGGCGGGAGGGGGUCCCUGAGCCACAUAU
Pelobates cultripes (western spadefoot toad) is the source of this 214-nucleotide non-coding RNA. Lineage: Eukaryota; Metazoa; Chordata; Amphibia; Anura; Pelobatidae. The record is from the annotation of a GenBank genome assembly.